CCUACGGGAGGCAGCAGUGGGGAAUAUUGGGCAAUGGGCGCAAGCCUGACCCAGCAACGCCGCGUGAAGGAAGAAGGCUUUCGGGUUGUAAACUUCUUUUAAGAGGGAAGAGCAGAAGACGGUACCUCUUGAAUAAGCCACGGCUAACUACGGGCAAGCAGCCGCGGUAAUACGUAGGUGGCAAGCGUUGUCCGGAUUUACUGGGUGGAAAGGGCGUGCAGCCGGGAAGACAAGUCAGAUGUGAAAUCCCGCGGCUCAACCGCGGAACUGCAUUUGAAACUGUUUUUCUUGAGUACCGGAGAGGUGAGCAGAAUUCCAGGUGUAGCGGUGAAAUGCGUAGAGAUAAGGAAGAACACCAGUGGCGAAGGCGGAUGACUGGACGGCAACUGACGGUGAGGCGCGAAAGCGUGGGGAGCAAACAGGAUUAGAUACCCGAGUAGUC
Molecule: ribosomal RNA, 442 nt
Filed under: uncultured bacterium
Lineage: Bacteria
Description: partial 16S ribosomal RNA
Rfam family: Bacterial small subunit ribosomal RNA
Source: RNAcentral